ACGCGAGGAACCUUACCAGGUCUUGACAUCCUUCGCUACUUCUAGAGAUAGAAGGUUCCCCCUCGGGGGACGAAGUGACAGGUGGUGCAUGGUUGUCGUCAGCUCGUGUCGUGAGAUGUUGGGUUAAGUCCCGCAACGAGCGCAACCCUUGUUCUUAGUUGCCAUCAUUUAGUUGGGCACUCUAAGGAGACUGCCGGUGACAAACCGGAGGAAGGUGGGGAUGACGUCAAAUCAUCAUGCCCCUUAUGACCUGGGCUACACACGUGCUACAAUGGACGGUACAAACGGUUGCCAACCCGCGAGGGGGAGCUAAUCCGAUAAAACCGUUCCCAGUUCGGAUUGUAGGCUGCAACUCGCCUACAUGAAGCCGGAAUCGCUAGUAAUCGCGGAUCAGCAUGCCGCGGUGAAUACGUUCCCGGGCCUUGCACUCACCGCCCGU
Molecule: ribosomal RNA, 439 nt
Filed under: uncultured bacterium
Lineage: Bacteria
Description: bacterial SSU rRNA
Rfam family: Bacterial small subunit ribosomal RNA
Source: RNAcentral